GACGAACGCUGGCGGCGUGCUUAACACAUGCAAGUCGAACGGAAAGGCCCCCACUUUUUUGGUGGGGGUGCUCGAGUGGCGAACGGGUGAGUAACACGUGGGUGAUCUGCCCUGUACUUCGGGAUAAGCUUGGGAAACUGGGUCUAAUACCGGAUAGGACCAUGGUUUAGUGUCUCAUGGUGGAAAAAUUAUUGUUUUGGUGCAGGAUGAGCUCGCGGCCUAUCAGCUUGUUGGUGGGGUAAUGGCCUACCAAGGCGUCGACGGGUAGCCGGCCUGAGAGGGUGGACGGCCACAGUGGGACUGAGAUACGGCCCAGACUCAUACGGGAGGCAGCAGUGGGGAAUAUGGCACAAUGGGCGCAAGCCUGAUGCAGCGACGCCGCGUGGGGGAUGACGGCCUUCGGGUGGUAAACUCCUUUCGUUAGGGACGAAGCCGCACCUUUUUUGGGUGUGGUGACGGUACCUUUGUUAAGAAGCACCGGCUAACUACGUG
Molecule: ribosomal RNA, 492 nt
Filed under: uncultured bacterium
Lineage: Bacteria
Description: partial 16S ribosomal RNA
Rfam family: Bacterial small subunit ribosomal RNA
Source: RNAcentral